RNAcentral lists this ribosomal RNA (497 nucleotides) under uncultured bacterium. RNAcentral's name for it is "partial 16S ribosomal RNA". It matches the Rfam family "Bacterial small subunit ribosomal RNA", at positions 28 to 507 of the family's 1533-position model. The record is from RNAcentral.
GACGAACGCUGGCGGCAUGCCUAAUACAUGCAAGUCGAACGCUGGAGCACCCUGCUUGCAGAGUGCGGAUGAGUGGCGAACGGGUGAGUAACACGUGGGGAAUCUGCCUAUAAGUGGGGGAUAACAUUCGGAAACGGAUGCUAAUACCGCAUAUAUUCUUGGACCGCCUGGUCCUUGAAAGAAAGACGGCUUUGCUGUCGCUUAUAGAUGAUCCCGCGGCGUAUUAGUUAGUUGGUGGGGUAAAGGCCUACCAAGACAAUGAUACGUAGCCGACCUGAGAGGGUGAUCGGCCACACUGGGACUGAGACACGGCCCAGACUCCUACGGGAGGCAGCAGUAGGGAAUCUUCCACAAUGGGCGAAAGCCUGAUGGAGCAAUGCCGCGUGAAUGAAGAAGGUCUUCGGAUCGUAAAGUUCUGUUAUUAGAGAAGAACAAGUCAAGGAAUAACUGUCUUGACUUUGACGGUACCUAACCAGAAAGUCACGGCUAACUACGUG